AAAUAGACAAAACGAGGAGGAGGAGCCGGCAGAAUUAUCCUCCGAACAAGGCAUGGCGAUAAACCCUGCAGAAAAAGAUCCUUCCCCAUCAUCAGCUCAUUACCCUCACCUGGUUCUCCUUGCCCUGACCUGAAGCACAUCCCCUUAUCAGCCGCUCACUAUUUAAGCCCAUCACAUUCUGUUGUUCCCUGCCAGAUUGUCUUGUGUGUUUUCCAGUGUUUUCCCAGUUACCCCGAUUUACCAGUGUUUUGACCCUGCCUGCCUUUCGACCCCAGAUUCUCUGUCUGCUCCUUUUUUUUGGAUUUGUUUGCCUCCCUGAUUGCCACUCUGGUUCUGACCCCUGCCUGUUCCCGUCUAUGGAUUCCCUGCCUGCCCCUCUCGGAUUUGCUUGCCUUCUGACGCAUCUCCCAGUUUUGACCUUGUCUGCCCCGUUGAUGAAAUCUACUAGUCCCUCCCAUCUUGGUCUGAGUCAAAAUGAUGCUGUGCUUGUGCUGGUUCUACCCAUGUAGCUAUGGAAUCCAACAGACAUUUACUUUUGGCCUGAGUUCCCCGAGAGUGAGACAAUGUCUGGCUCAAGCUCCAUAGGCUCUAUUGCAAAUCUGCUGAUAUGUUUCUUAAAGAAACCAGACUGUACACUUUUUGAAAACUUGCGAUAGAGCUGUAUUUAUGUCACGCAGUGACAUGUAAAUAAAUAAUGCCGCCAUUAUAAAUAUAAACUGUAUGUUUUGAGGUACAACAGAUGGACAGUUAGUUGGGGUUUUUCUGCUUUUCCUAUACACUACUUUGCCACCUAGUUUAAUAUUUAUUUUCCUCUGUCUUGAUGGAAUGAGUUUUGGUUGCAUCAGUAUUGUACCAUACAACCCAUCUUCUCCGAUUUUAUAAACAUGUCACGGUGUGGUUCACUUCCUGUUGUAUUUUGUAGUUUUCUGCCACUCGUGUCCCCGGGUAACUUCACUUCCUGCCUUGUCCCGUCAUCCCCUGUGAUCGUCUAAUAGUUUCCACCUGUGUCCAAUCACCUGCACCUCCCUUGUGUAUUUAAGCCGUGUGUCGCGUCAUUGUCUCUUGUUGUGGAUGUCUGUAGUUUCCGGCCUGCUGUUUUUCCUCCCG
Long non-coding RNA from Gasterosteus aculeatus aculeatus (three-spined stickleback), 1107 nucleotides. Lineage: Eukaryota; Metazoa; Chordata; Actinopteri; Perciformes; Gasterosteidae. The record is from Ensembl.